This is a non-coding RNA of Camellia sinensis, 1086 nucleotides long. The record is from RefSeq and is a predicted model, not a curated record. NCBI's taxonomy places the organism in Eukaryota, Viridiplantae, Streptophyta, Magnoliopsida, Ericales, Theaceae.
ACUUUUCUUAGUAAACAUUGAUUUGAUUUGAUUUUUUUGUUCAUGGAUGUACGCUAUUUUGUGAGAAAUAGAAUAUGUGAUAUCAGUGUUCUAAAAUUUUCAUUACACACCGGCUGUAAAUUAAUAAUGCAAGUUUAAGAUUGUUUUCAAUACGAACCUGAAUGCUUGUGUUGCCCAAGGAAAUAAAAGAUUCAUAUCCAUGAUUCCAUCUGUAUUGAAUCUUAAUGCAAGUUGAAAAUAUGUAGUCAUAACUGAGUGUAGGUCCACUAGCUUUUGAUGAAUAUCAUUCCUUGGAUUCUACAUUUCCCUUAAUUGUGAUGUUUUUUUGAAUUUUUCUUAUAAAUGUUUUAAAUUAUUUUAUCUUUGAUUUAUCAUAAAUAUUUUGAAAUUAUUAUGAUGUCUUGUUUCAUUGAAUUCCACAGUUUCAUUGGAAAGAAAUAUCAGCACUGUUGCCUGUUCAAUGGUAUGCUUUGUGCCUGGGUUUAUUUGCAUCAAUUAUAUCACCAUAGCAGUUAUUUUUUGCAAGUGGCUUGAAGAGAGCUUUUCAAAUUAAGGAUUUUGGUGAUAGUAUAUUCCUGGACGUGGUGGGUUUACUGACAGAAUGGACUGUCAGUUGCUUGAAGCGGCCUGGUGUUUUACAAACAUAGCGGCAGGAAAGCCAGAAGAAACUAAAGCUUUGUUGACUGCUUUACCAUUGCUCAUUGCUCAUCUUGGAGGUUGAUGAUGGUUUCUGCAUUUUCCAUUCAAUGUGAAAGAAUGUAAAUGGUUCUUUCUUUUUCUUAUCAGAAAAAGUAAAUGCUUUUUCUUUUUCUUCUUCUUUUUGUGUGUAGUAUUUUUUUCUUUCUCCAUUUCCUCUGGCUUUCUGAGACCUAAGAGUGACUGACAGUAAUUAAAGAUAUCAGGUUAAGUACUAUACGUUGAAAUUGGAUUACGUAACCACAAGUAUGUCCAUUUUUGGAUCAUUGAACUGCUGUUUUUGUGGAAUAGCACUAUUAUUGAGUUGGGUGAAGUAGUGACGGUUAGGGUGGAAUAGCACUAUUAUUGAAGUCUCCAAAGUAUGCAUUGCUCAUUGCUCAUCUUGGAUUA